UACGUAGGUGGCAAGCGUUGUCCGGAAUUAUUGGGCGUAAAGCGCGCGCAGGCGGUCCUUUAAGUCUGAUGUGAAAGCCCACGGCUCAACCGUGGAGGGUCAUUGGAAACUGGGGGACUUGAGUGCAGGAGAGAAGAGUGGAAUUCCACGUGUAGCGGUGAAAUGCGUAGAGAUCCGGAGGAACACCAGCGGCGAAGGCGGCGUCCUGGACUGGUACUGACGCUCAGGAGCGAAAGCGUGGGGAGCGAUCCGG
This 253-nucleotide ribosomal RNA is filed under the name uncultured bacterium. Its description in RNAcentral is "partial 16S ribosomal RNA". It matches the Rfam family "Bacterial small subunit ribosomal RNA", at positions 524 to 776 of the family's 1533-position model. The record is from RNAcentral.